RNAcentral lists this ribosomal RNA (588 nucleotides) under Grammatus semis. RNAcentral's name for it is "eukaryotic LSU rRNA". The stretch from base 171 to 324 matches the Rfam family "5.8S ribosomal RNA". The record is from RNAcentral. Lineage: Eukaryota; Fungi; Basidiomycota; Agaricomycetes; Auriculariales; Auriculariaceae.
GGGACUCGGAGACAUUAAGAUUCGGGCUUCGGCCCUCUUCAGCUGUGCGCUUCGGCUGCACGCUGUUAAAAUCUCACACCUGUGCACCCUUUCGGUCGCGGCGUUCACGCGUCGCUUCCGCUUUACAUCCAACUACAAAAGUCCAGAAUGUACAAAACCAUAAAUGUAACAACUUUCAACAACGGAUCUCUUGGCUCUCGCAUCGAUGAAGAACGCAGCGAAAUGCGAUAAGUAAUGUGAAUUGCAGAAUUCAGUGAAUCAUCGAAUCUUUGAACGCAUCUUGCGCUCCAUGGUAUUCCGUGGAGCAUGCCUGUUUGAGUGUCACGUGAAACCUCACAUCUGCGAUGUCAAAGUCGCAGAAGGUGGACUUGGACCGUGCCGUAACCGGCUCGUCUUGAAAUGCAUUAGCUCGCGCUUUUAGGGUUGCUGGCAUAGGUGUGAUAAUUAUCUGCGCCGUCGCCUCGAGCCCUUCAGUGGCGCUGCUUACAGUCGUCCCGCAUCAGGACAACUUUUAAAGCUUUGGCCUCAAAUCAGGUAGGACUACCCGCUGAACUUAAGCAUAUCAAUAAAGCGGAGGAAAACCCCCCC